RNAcentral lists this non-coding RNA (32 nucleotides) under Rattus norvegicus (Norway rat). Lineage: Eukaryota; Metazoa; Chordata; Mammalia; Rodentia; Muridae. The record is from RNAcentral.
UAAGCCUGACUGUUGUCACGUUUGGUGGCUUU